UCGCCUGUUUUAUCAAAAACAUCUCUAAUAAAUUUAGUAUAACCUGCUCAGUGAAAAAUUUUUAACAGCCAGUAUAUGCUAAGGUAGCAUAAUAAUUUGCUUUAUAAUUAAAAGAUGGAAUGAAAGGUUUUUCUAAAAAUAAUUUAUUUUAAUUUUUUAUUAAAUUUUUUUGUGGAUGAAAAAAUCAACAUUAAUUUUUUAGACGACAAGACCCUAUGAAGCUUUACUACCAGUUAGUUUUUUUGGGGCAAAAAAUAAUAUUUAUAUUUUUUUAAAGAAUAAUUUUGAUCUUUUUGAAUUUUAAGAAAAAGCUACUCUAGGGAUAACAGCAUAAUUUUUAUAAAAGUUCUUAUUAUAAUAAAAGUUUGUGACCUCGAUGUUGA
This 383-nucleotide ribosomal RNA is filed under the name Calamoecia attenuata. RNAcentral describes it as "partial 16S ribosomal RNA". The record is from RNAcentral. Lineage: Eukaryota; Metazoa; Arthropoda; Copepoda; Calanoida; Centropagidae.